This 1246-nucleotide ribosomal RNA is filed under the name Klebsiella pneumoniae. RNAcentral's name for it is "partial 16S ribosomal RNA". It matches the Rfam family "Bacterial small subunit ribosomal RNA", at positions 68 to 1371 of the family's 1533-position model. The record is from RNAcentral. Lineage: Bacteria; Pseudomonadati; Pseudomonadota; Gammaproteobacteria; Enterobacterales; Enterobacteriaceae.
AGUUCCUCCGUUUAUUAAAAGGGGGGGAGCAAAGAUUUUUUGGGGAAAGGGGGGCGGGAAAAUUUAGGAAAUCCUUCGGGGGGAACAUAGGAAACGUGAUAUACCCAUUAUUUGCAGACCAAGGGGGGCCUUGGGUCUCAACCAUAAAUGGCCCAAAUGGAUUAAUUGUAGGGGGGAACGCUCACUGGGGACGUCCCUUGUUGUUGGGGGAUGCCCAGCCCCCUGGAAUGAACACGUCCAGAUUCUGCGGGAGCAGCGUGGGAUUUUCACAAUGGCGCAAGCUGAUGCAGCCUGCCGCGUGUGGAAGAAGCCUUGGGUUGAAAGCAUUUCAGCGGGAGAAGGCGUGAGUUAAUACCUUGGCGAUGACGUUCCCGCAAAGAAGCACGGCUACUCCGUGCAGCAGCCGCGUUAUACGGAGGUGCAAGCGUUAUCGGAUUACGGGCGAAAGCGCACGCAGGCGGUCUGUCAAGUCGGAUGUGAAAUCCCGGGCUCAACCUGGGAACUGCAUUCGAAACUGGCAGGCUAGAGUUUGUAGAGGGGGGUAGAAUUCCAGGUGUAGCGGUGAAAUGCGUAGAGAUCUGGAGGAAUACCGGUGGAGAAGGCGGCCCCCUGGACAAAGACUGACGCUCAGGUGAGAAAGCGUGGGGAGCAAACAGGAUUAGAUACCCUGGUAGUCCACGCCGUAAACGAUGUCGAUUUGGAGGUUGUGCCCUUGAGGCGUGGCUUCCGGAGCUAACGCGUUAAAUCGACCGCCUGGGGAGUACGGCCGCAAGGUUAAAACUCAAAUGAAUUGACGGGGGCCCGCACAAGCGGUGGAGCAUGUGGUUUAAUUCGAUGCAACGCGAAGAACCUUACCUGGUCUUGACAUCCACAGAACUUUCCAGAGAUGGAUUGGUGCCUUCGGGAACUGUGAGACAGGUGCUGCAUGGCUGUCGUCAGCUCGUGUUGUGAAAUGUUGGGUUAAGUCCCGCAACGAGCGCAACCUUUAUCCUUUGUUGCCAGCGGUCCGGCCGGGAACUCAAAGGAGACUGCCAGUGAUAAACUGGAGGAAGGUGGGGAUGACGUCAAGUCAUCAUGGCCCUUACGACCAGGGCUACACACGUGCUACAAUGGCAUAUACAAAGAGAAGCGACCUCGCGAGAGCAAGCGGACCUCAUAAAGUAUGUAGUAGUCCGGAUUGGAGUCUGCAACUGGACUCCAUGAAGUCGGAAUCGCUAGUAAUCGAGAUCAGCAUGUUGGGUUUGGU